AGACUUGGCCACCAGAGGAGACAACAUGAUGAUGAAGGAGGUUUUUCCCAGGGUGAGGCUCAACCAUUGCAAGGUUGCUGUGCUGACCCUUCCUAGUUCCUCACAGGUUGGAAACCUUGCAUGCAGAAUUUGUGAUAAUGGUGUUUGCAUUUACCCUU
Molecule: small nuclear RNA, 158 nt
Organism: Vombatus ursinus (common wombat)
Lineage: Eukaryota; Metazoa; Chordata; Mammalia; Diprotodontia; Vombatidae
Gene: U1
Rfam family: U1 spliceosomal RNA
About the family: U1 is a small nuclear RNA (snRNA) component of the spliceosome (involved in pre-mRNA splicing). Its 5' end forms complementary base pairs with the 5' splice junction, thus defining the 5' donor site of an intron. There are significant differences in sequence and secondary structure between metazoan and yeast U1 snRNAs, the latter being much longer (568 nucleotides as compared to 164 nucleotides in human).
Source: Ensembl